AGUCGAACGAACACCUUAUUCUGAUUUCUUCGGAAUGAAAAAUUUGGUGACUGAGUGGCGGACGGGUGAGUAACGCGUGGGUAACCUGCCUCAUACAGGGGGAUAACAGUUAGAAAUGACUGCUAAUACCGCAUAAGACCACAGCACCGCAUGGUGCAGGGGUAAAAACUCCGGUGGUAUGAGAUGGACCCGCGUCUGAUUAGGUAGUUGGUGGGGUAACGGCCUACCAAGCCGACGAUCAGUAGCCGACCUGAGAGGGUGACCGGCCACAUUGGGACUGAGACACGGCCCAAACUCCUACGGGAGGCAGCAGUGGGGAAUAUUGCACAAUGGGGGAAACCCUGAUGCAGCGACGCCGCGUGAGCGAUGAAGUAUUUCGGUAUGUAAAGCUCUAUCAGCAGGGAAGAAAAUGACGGUACCUGACUAAGAAGCACCGGCUAAAUACGUGCCAGCAGCCGCGGUAAUACGUAUGGUGCAAGCGUUAUCCGGAUUUACUGGGUGUAAAGGGAGCGUAGACGGAGUGGCAAGUCUGAUGUGAAAACCCGGGGCUCAACCCCGGGACUGCAUUGGAAACUGUCAAUCUGGAGUACCGGAGAGGUAAGCGGAAUUCCUAGUGUAGCGGUGAAAUGCGUAGAUAUUAGGAGGAACACCAGUGGCGAAGGCGGCUUACUGGACGGUAACUGACGUUGAGGCUCGAAAGCGUGNGGAGCAAACAGGAUUAGANACCCUGGUAGUCCACGCCGUAAACGAUGACUACUAGGUGUCGGGCA
RNAcentral lists this ribosomal RNA (770 nucleotides) under uncultured bacterium. RNAcentral's name for it is "bacterial SSU rRNA". It matches the Rfam family "Bacterial small subunit ribosomal RNA", at positions 60 to 829 of the family's 1533-position model. The record is from RNAcentral.